AGCUCUCUAACAAAGGGCAAAAUGGAAUGUGCCUGUUUUCAAAUUCCUGUGAAAAAGGGUCCUGGAAGACCUCAGAUCCUGGUCUAGGGCAAUUUGCGUCACUGUUUUUCGGGGCUUUGAAUGAAGACUCUAAGCUGUUGAGAGAGAUCUUACCAAACAUCGUUAGCGUGGAGCCACUUAUCAGAAGGAUCUAUAUAGGUUGUUACUGCAUAAAAACGAAAUAGAACUGUCCAUGCCUGGUUUGAAGUACAGUGAUGGCUAGGGAGGAAAGUAAACCGGGAAGAGCUGGGACAUUUCUAAAUUUGGUACCAUUGAUCCAAAAUUUGGUGUUUAUCAUCCGGGGGAGGGAGAGAUGGUUCGGGGGCAGCUCAGACACUAGAGCUUGUGGUGCGCAUUUUAAGGACAGAGGGUUGCUGGGUUCAGAGGUGAGGAAAAAUCAACGGUUAUGUUUCUCAGUACUUAACUUUACACUGGGAAGCAUUUCCUCUGCCCAGAAUGCUCUGCUUCUGGUUGGCCCUGCUUCUGUGGCUGGUUCCUUCCUGUCAUUUAUUUCUCAUCACAAAAGUCACCUCCUUCCACCUAAUCCAAACACUCACAACAUAUCUCUCCAUUUUAAUUACCUGCUCGCUUUUAUCUGAUAUUUUGGUUUGUUUUCUUGUUUAUUACUGGACUACGAGCUUUGCUUUAAUAGGAAGCUUGUCCGUUUACUACGGAUUCCAGCGACUAGCACGUAGUAGAUACUCAAGAAAGAUACUGAAUGAAGAAGAAGGAAUAGGAUAAUUGUCCCUGUACAAUUUGAGUCAUGAAAAAAUUAACUUUGUAGAGGUCUUACCUAGUACCUGCAGGUGAUUUUCUGGUUCUUAUGCAAGAUAAUAAUAAUUUGAGGUAAAUGAAGCCCCUUUCAUCCCUGGGAGGGAUUCUGAAACCAAUGGAAAAGUAGAAGGUAGGAUAGAGAUUUCUGAAAAGACCACAACUAAAUUGGGGCACUUACAUGUCUCAAACUCUUGAUUUUAGCUCAGGUCAUGAUCUCACAGUUUGGUUUGUGGGAUCAAGCACUGUGAUGGGCUCUGUGCUGACAGCACGGAUCGUGGUUGGGAUUCUCUCUGUUCCUCUCCCGCUCGUGCUCUCUCUCUCUCUCUCUCAAAAAUGAAUAAACAAACACUAAAAACAGAACACCACAACUAAAUUAAUCUCGAACACCGUGGGGCUGCUUUAUCUAAACAUGCAGUCUAGAACCACCUCAUUUGAGACUCUUCGGUAUUCUCCAUUGCUAGGGGUUUUGUGUACUUCUCUGGUCAUCUUACCACACGGGCCAGAAAUGGGUAAGACGUGUUGAAAUAUUCACUGUGGCUCGGAGCUGCUGUUUGGUAAGACUGCUGAUCUGGCAGGCCAAUGAGUGGAGUGCUACUUGAAAACACCAGGUUUUCUCCAUUUCCCCAGCCUAUUUCACAACGUCUUGCUUCACUCUUUUCCAAGUUCCAAGCUCAGACAGACACCAGCUGGAUGAACACUAGGCUUGGAUGGCAAAGUCAUAGUAGCAAAUGAACCCCCGAAGUCCCGCCUCCUGUGAACUGUCCCAUUCACGACAAACAGAGGCCAGGGGAAAAUGAAGAUUCUUCACCCGCAGACACCCUCUGGGCAGGUUACCCACAGUUGAUUCCAAACCACCUGAUCAAUGUGGAAGAAGGAAUAGAAUGGUUCAGCCAAACUGUGCCAAUGAAGAAUGCUGUCGGCUGAUCCCAUGCACGGAGCUAAGCAAUCUGAACGGGGCAGGAGUGCGUGGUCCUCUGUUGUAACCUUGAAGUUCAGCUUCAGCCCAGAUAGGGCUGAUGUAGGCCCUGCAGCCAGGCCUCAGGUGAUCGUGUGGUCUGCGAUACUCCAAUCCUGUCCAGUGCAAGUCUUACAAUCAACAAAUACUGACCGAGCCCUAGCCACAUGCCCAGUCAUGGCUAGAUUGCCCAAGAAGCCAAGCAAGAACAUGCUGGGGCCAGGGCAGGGCCAGGGAUGGGGGUAAGGGGCAUUCAAGAAAGAACUGGGAAAACUGUAGCCAUCAUUCUGUUUAUUGAGUACCUUGCUGUUGUGCAAGGCACUGUUUCUGGCACUGGGGAACCCGCAAUUUUUCCCUCCCGCAUGAACUUACAUCCUGGCCUUAUUUCAGCAUACUUGUGAGUUUUAGCUUUUGAAAUAAAAUUUUAUUUUGCAAUUUAAUGUUGUUUUUAUUUUGAACCUCUUGGGAGAGUACCAUCGUCAUUUUGGUAUCGGGGCCAUAAAAAUUUUAUUACGGCCUAUUCCCCGUGCUGUUAAACAUACAAACAAAAAGUUAGGUUUUUAAACCUUAUGCCCAAAUAUUUUCUAAAAAAGUCACUUGUAGUAUUAACUUGAAUUUGUGAAAAAGAAAGGAUUUGUGGGAGGGGGGCGUGCCGCACUUGGGUGACUCCGUCAAGCAUCCAACUCUUGGUUUCGGCUCAGGUCAUGAUCCCAUGGGUCUUGAGUUUGAGCCCCACAUCGGGCUCUGCAAUGAAGGCGAGGAGCCUGCUUGGGAUUCUGUCUCCCUUUCUCUGCUCCUCCCCCACCCACUUUCUAUCUCUCUCUCUCUCUCUCUCUCUCUCUCUCUCAUAAAUAAAUAAAUAAACAUUCAAAAAGA
This 2644-nucleotide long non-coding RNA is filed under the name Lynx pardinus (Iberian lynx). Lineage: Eukaryota; Metazoa; Chordata; Mammalia; Carnivora; Felidae. The record is from RNAcentral.